RNAcentral lists this small nuclear RNA (164 nucleotides) under Neolamprologus brichardi. Its description in RNAcentral is "U1 spliceosomal RNA (ENSNBRG00000013560.1)". It matches the Rfam family "U1 spliceosomal RNA". From Rfam's summary of the family: U1 is a small nuclear RNA (snRNA) component of the spliceosome (involved in pre-mRNA splicing). Its 5' end forms complementary base pairs with the 5' splice junction, thus defining the 5' donor site of an intron. Lineage: Eukaryota; Metazoa; Chordata; Actinopteri; Cichliformes; Cichlidae. The record is from Rfam by way of RNAcentral.
UUACUUAUCUGACAGAGAUGAUACUGCGAUCAUGAAGGUGAUUCAUCCAAAGUGAGGUUCUCCUCUCGCACACUGGCUAUUCUGACCUUUGUGAAUUCUCCAAACGCGGGACUGUCAACUGCACAAUUUAUGUUGGUGGGGAAAUGCGUGCGUGCUCUCCCCCC